This 377-nucleotide unclassified non-coding RNA is filed under the name Hevea brasiliensis (rubber tree). Lineage: Eukaryota; Viridiplantae; Streptophyta; Magnoliopsida; Malpighiales; Euphorbiaceae. The record is from RNAcentral.
UUCUGUAUUGGGAUAAAUUGAAAUCGUGCAAGCUUCAACAGUAUUCAACAUGCAUUCAUCUGGUCCAUGCUGGCAAAAGAAGGCGCCGUCGGGCUGGAUCCAGGCGUUGCCCCAAGGGAUCAUCCGGAGAUUGACGGCGGAGAUUAGUCCAUUUUCAAAAAGCUUCACCAAAUGGUAAACCACGAAGUUCGCACAGAAAGGGCAGAGAGCUUCGUAAUACACUGACACGGUCACUUUUUCAGACGCCGACGGCGGCGGUGCCGACAACAGCAACACACCACACAGAGCCGUUACGGCGGCCGACCACCGGCCAAGGCGACUCAUUAUGUCUCAAGCAACCCAAUCCCGGAUCAUGCCGAACCGGACACGAUGCUGUG